Molecule: long non-coding RNA, 281 nt
Organism: Lucilia cuprina (Australian sheep blowfly)
Lineage: Eukaryota; Metazoa; Arthropoda; Insecta; Diptera; Calliphoridae
Exons: 3
Source: RefSeq, a predicted model, not a curated record
UAUUUGACAAAUUAAAUUUUCUUCAAAAACCUUUUAAAGGAAAACUUGCACAUGUAUAGCAUGCGCAUAUUCUGCAUUGGAUUAAACGAUACAUACAUAUGGAUUUCUGAUCAUCAUUGAUUUCGAAUCAAGACUGAGCUUUGAAAUAAAAGGUACAACAUAGUGAAAGUCCUGCAAAACCGUAAAGAGUACGAAAAAGACAUCCAUCUCAAUAUUUAUCAGCAAGAUUCCGUCUAUGCAUGAAGAAAACAUUCAUUCCGGUAUUUAAGAUUCCGUUUAGG